GCACAAGCUUUUGGUGAAUCUAGAGAUGGACUCUAUCUAUUGCAACCUACCAGUUUUAAGUCUAGGGAGUCCAAAACAAAUGAUGUAUCUAAUGUUUCUACUAAUGGUCAUUUCAAUUCAGUUCUAGUUUCUUUUCCUUUUACUACAAAUACACUGUCAGAUGUAAAACUUUGGCAUGUAAGACUCGGGCACUUGCCUUUUCAAGCAAUGAAACAUCUUAAUUUGGUCUCUUUUCCGUCUAGUUUUGAUUGUUCUUGUGAUAUUUGUCCUCUUGCAAGACAAACAAGAAGCACCUUUCCUUAUAAGUUCUAUCAAAACCAAGAGAAUUUUUGAGUUGAUUCAUAUAGACAUUGGGGACCUUACAAGGUUCAUACACAUGAUGGAUAUAAGUAUUUCUUAACUAUUGUGGAUGAUUUUAGCAGGGGCACUUGGACCUUCUUACUCACUGCAAAGAGUAGUGCUUUUCCAAUGCUCAAAAAUUUCUUGGCUAUGGUUGAAAGACAGUUCAAUGUGAAAGUUAUGAGGAUAAGAUCAGACAAUGCUCUAGAACUUGGGAAGGGGUCUCUGGAAGCUAGUUACCUAAACUCUCAUGGAAUUGUUCAUGAAACCUCAUGUGUUGCUACUCCUCAACAAAAUGGAGGUGUCGAGAGAAAGCAUAGGCACUUGUUAGAGAUUGCCAGAGCUCUUCUUUUUCAGUCCAAACUUCCUACAUCAUUCUGGGGAGAAUCCAUUCUCACAGCCACACAUUUGAUCAAUAGAAUACCUUCUAGGGUCCUCCAAGGGAAAAGCCCGUAUCAGUUACUUUUUGGGAAAUUGCCUAAAUAUAGAUCCUUGAGAAGUUUCGGAUCACUAUGUUAUGCUUCUACUCUACAACAUCGUAGAAGUAAAUUUGAUCCUAGGGCUAAACCUUGUAUCUUUCUGGGAUAUCCACAAGGACAGAAAGGGUACAAAUUGUUGGACUUAGAAACCAAAAAGAUUUUAGUUUCUAGAGAUGUCCACUUUCAGGAGACCAUUUUUCCUUUUUCUACUUUUUCUCCUACCCCAGAGCCUAUUUUUCCCAUGCAUGAGUCAUCUUAUUCAGAUCUUACUCCUUCGAUCUCAGAAUCUGUAGAUGUCAGUCUUGCUUCAUUUCCUUCUCUCUUUGAGUCUGCCUCACCUCCCAGUCCUACCCUUGACACCCACUCUUUCCCCUUUCCUACCAUUCCUCCCAGGAGAUCAGAAAGGACAAGGAAAAUACCUGAUUAUCUAACUGACUUUGUUUGCAAUAACAUAUUUAUUUCAGAUGUCACUAGAACUUGUUUUGCAGUGCCUAUGCAGGCUUCUACUUUCUCCUUUGGGGCCUUAUCUAUGCAGAAUCAACACCUCCUAGGUUCUAUCAACACUAUCACUGAACCUAAAGGGUAUUCCCAGGCAUGUUUGCAUCCUGGCUGGAGGGUUGCUAUGGAUAGGGAACUCAAAGCUCUCAUAGAUAAUAACACUCAGGAAGAGGUUUCCUUACCUAAAGGACGAAAGGCUCUACCUUGUAAAUGGAUAUAUAAGGUCAAACAACACUCAGAUGAAACCAUUGAGAGACUGAAGGCAAGACUUGUGAUCAGAGGAGACAUUCAGAGAGAAGGCAUUGCUUAUAAUGAGACCUUCUCCCCUGUGAUCAAAAUGACCACAAUCAGGUGCCACCUAACCAUUGCAGUCAAGAAGGGAUGGUCAAUUUCCCAACUUGAUGUUAAUAAUGCAUUUUUACAUGGUGACUUACAAGAGGAAGUCUACAUGCAGUUUCCUUUAGGGAUGGAUAAGCCUAAUUCUAACCUUGUAUGCAAGCUAAGAAAAUCUCUCUAUGGUUUGAAACAAACUUCACAACAAUGGUAUGCGAAGCUUGCUGGGGCUUUACAAUUUAAAGGUUAUUCAGCUUCAUUGAAAGAUUAUUCCUUAUUUUUCAAAAAAUCAUGUUCUUCAAUUUCUAUAGUUGCUAUAUAUGUGGACGAUAUUCUCAUUACUGGGAAUGAUCCAUCAGAAUUUAUUCAACUUAAGGGAUUUUUGAAUUCAGAAUUUCAUAUCAAGGACCUGGGAGAACUACAUUACUUUCUGGGCAUGGAGGUAUUACGAGAAACUCAAGGUAUAAUUUUGGGACAGAGAAAAUUUACCUUCGAACUCGUAGAGGAGUUUGAUUGCUCACAUCUGCCGCCUGUUUUUUCACCUUUUGCUCCUUCUGAAAAGCUAUCGACUUCUGCUGGUCCUCUCCUGGCAAAUCCCACAAUGUAUCGACGGCUUGUUGGUAAGCUUAAUUACCUCACUCACACUCGCCCGGACUUGUCUUAUGUUGUGCUUUGUCUUAGCCAAUAUACGCAAACCUCGUGUGUUGGUCAUUAUAAUGCCGGACUCAGAGUGUUGCGAUAUUUGAAAUCUAAUCCAGACCAAGGUUUGUUUUUAAACGCUUCCUCCUCUUUGUCACUCAUUGCCUUUUGUGAUGCGGAUUGGGCCUCUUGUAAAGACUCGCGCAGAUCGGUUAGUGGAUUUUUCAUCAGUCUUGGCGGCUCACCUAUUUCUUGGAAAUCCAAGAAAUAAGCUUCCAUUUCCCUCUCCUAAGCUGAAUCAGAGUAUAGAUCGAUGUGUCGGGUUACUACUGAACUCACCUGGUUGACUCGAUUGCUCAAGGACCUAUCUCUACAACAGACUCUACCUAUUCCUGUCUUCUCUGAUAGAAAAGCUGUUAUUUAUAUUGCUCGUAACCCGGUGUUUCACGAAUGCACUAAACAUGUGGAACUUGAUUGCCAUUUUGUCCGACAACAAUUCCUUGCGGGCUUGAUUUCUUUAUCCUUCGUCCCUUCAUCGGCUCAGCUAGCUGAUCUCUUUACUAAACCAUUGGCUGGACCUUCUCACCACAUGAUUCUGUCCAAGUUGGGUAUCAGUUCCCUCCCCUCCAACUUGAAGGGGGGUGUUGAGUUUUAUAGUGCAUCGAAAUCAAAGAAGAAAGAAGUGAACGAUGAAGACGAAGUGAACAUUACUGAAGUUAAAACAUUGGGUCUUGACCAUAUCGAUAGUGGGCCUGCACAACAGAAUGGGCAGACAUUUAAUCAAAUAUAAAAAUCCAAUGAUGGCCCAAGUACAUAUAGAUACAAGCAUCAAUAAUUUGUACAUACAUUAGAUAUACUUAUAUACAUGAUAUAGUGUAGUAUCUUUCUGUAGAAUAUUCUAGAAUACGUAUAUGUGUACAAAUUAGGUAUAGGUCGGUUAGAAAACCUUUUUUUUAUUUACAGUUUAGUCCAUUGCAGAAUGUACAAAACCGCAUCUUUGGCUGAAGGAAAUAUGAAAAAGAAAAAAUUCUUGCGUCUUCAAAUUCUUUAAAGAUAUGCAUGUUUCUUUAAGAAAUUGAAGAAAAUGAUUUAAGUUUGCUUUGAGAGUCAAGAAUUGAGGUUGUUGUUGUUGUUGUGAAAGGAUUUCUCACAUACUACUCAAAACAUGAAUGUGACAGGGGUUUUCUAACAUGAAGGAUUCAUAGGGUUGAAAGACUUUCUCAACGUAACUUUUAAUCAAGAUUUUGGAGCUAUUCUAAUGAACUCUAGCUUGGAUUGGCUAUUUGAUUGUGCCUUUCCAUAGAUAAUAAGAUGAAUAUGACUAAUGACUAUUCCGUGGGAUUUAUGCUUAGCACCGAGUGUAUAUUGAGAUGGAGGCUCUCCCGUAGUUGAGGCCGUGUUUCUAAUAGCAAUCUCCCUAUCCCAUAACUAUGUUCCACCAUAGGUAAUCUUAGAUAACCAAUAGCUAGUGGAUCCACUUAAGCUAGAUGUUUAUGGUUCUUACCUUGGAAAGUAAGGACAUCUCUUUUCGGUGUGGAUAGAAAUCAAAUUCCAUGUUUGUCUCACAUGGUCUAUGUUGGUUAAUGGAAAAAUUCCCAUAAUAACGAACUAACGUUACUUCUAGAAGUAUCUCAAAUAUGUUAAAAUUGGUCGAUGGAGAAAUUACCAUCGAUUUCCAAGGCCUCCCAUGUUCAUAAGAUGGAUUUUUUAAAAAAGUUAUUAUUUGAUUCAUAUUUAUUUAUUACUAAAACUUUUACUAAGUGUCUUUACAGGUACCUAGAGUUGCUUCCCAAUGAAGCUAUUCGAAUGAAGUUCAAACAAUAUUUUUGAUUCAUUAUAUAUUGACGUUAGGCAAACACUAGACCGUUUCUUGUAUUAUUAUUUUACUUUGUGACUUGUGUAUAUUACAUGUUUAUUAUACUUGUACAAUGUUUUUAUCUCCUCCUCAAUUUAAAAAAAAAGGAAUUCAGUCGGGACCCACAUUUGUGGAUUUUGAAGGAUGCCUAAUACCUUCUCUUCCGAAUCACUUGAACCCUUACCUAGAAUAUAUUGGUAUCGUAGACAUUUCUUUCUUUAUUAAUUAAUUAAUUGGUUUCCUAGUUUUCCUAAAAUUAGAUGGCAACUCCCUUUUAAAUUUAUUCUUUUAUUCAUUAAAUUCUUUCUUUUAAAAUUAAAUUAAUUGAUUAUAUUUUUGUGAGUCACCACGACGUUGUGCCUUCAGGAUGUCAAUAAUAGUUAUCACUCCAACAUUGAUAUAACACUAUUUGAGGCACUCUGUGGGAGGGGAUGCAAAUCUCCUAUAGGUUGGUUUGAGGCUGGGGAUGUGAAACCAUUGGGUGUGGAUUUGGUUAGGGAAGAUUAAGAAGGUUGAGGGAGAUUCAAGCUAAGUUGUUGGUAGCCCAGCAUAGGUAUUAAGGACAUGGCUUUUCAGGUGGGUGAUCAAAUUUUGUUGAAGGUGUCACCUAUGAAGGGAGUCAUACAGUUUGGUAAGAAGGGUAAGCUUAACCCUCGUUAUGUUGAUCUAUUUGAGGUUCUUGAAGGUGUGGGACCAGUGGCUUGCAAGUUAACACUGCUGCUCAACCUGUGUGGGUUCAUUAAGUACUUCAUGUUCCUAUGCUAAAUAAGUAUAAUAUGGAUGGGGAUUACAUCAUUAAAUGGGACUCAAUAAUAUUGGACAAGGACUGUAGUAUGAAGAGAAAUCGAUUGCGGUUCUUGAUCGGCAUGUCCGGAAGCUGAGGACAAAAGAGAUCAAAUCAGUAAAGGUUUAGUGGAAACAUCGUUCGGUGGAGGAAGCUACUUAGAAGAUAGAAAGGGAUAUGCGGGACAAGCCCUCACUUGUUCGAAAAUUCAAGUACUACCUUUUUUUCUACUUUAGCCCAAUAUUCUUUAUUUGAUCACUCGGGGAUGAAUGAUGGUUGAAUUGGUAUCUAUUGGAAUGAUCUGAUUUGGUCAUUAUAAGUAAGCCAAUAGCGAAAGAAUUUUGGCAAGAAAACUUUCCGAGUAGUGACUUAAAUUUUUUUGGCUAGCCCAGCCUUAGAUAGAAUAUAGGCUAGGUGACGUCUAGGGUAAUCCAGGAAUGGGUGGGAUAUGACUUUGAGGUUUGGUUGAUAUAGUCUUGUAUCCGAUUCAUUAAGGAGUCUAUAAGGCCUUUCAGAAUUGAAUUUGGAUAAGUCUAACUCUCGAAAUGGAUCUUGGCGUUAAUGGUAUGUGUCGAGACAUCUAGGGAAGAGUUUCUGCUGUAAAAAUACCUUUUUCUGGAGUUUGAGUUUCUAAACUUUCAUCGAUUUCGCUAUAGCAGGAGGUGUCCCUCAAUAAAAGAGUGUGCAGACCGCUAUGACAGGGUAAGUUCCACUAUAGUGGCGCCGCUGUAGUGGGCCAAAACGAGAUUUAUUAUAGAAACAACCCCAAAACCCCUAUUUUCUGCACUUUGAGUUGUUGGACUUGUGAGGGGCCAAUUUGGGCAAUUUACACUUGUUUUUCCAUGGAAUUCAUCGGUAAAGGUAAAAAAAUGACUCCCCAACCUUAUGCAUUGGUUCUUAAGCCUUAUAAGCUAGGUUAUUUCCAUUGAGGGGAGGUUUUGACAUGAUUCCAUGGUGGAAAAAUCCCUAAGUUGGGGAAGAUGAUCAUAUUUUGGCAUAGAGUUAGGAUUUGUUGAUGAUUUGAGUUAAUUAAUAGGUCAUUAGUGAUUGAUUAUUGUUUAUAUUGUUUGUUUUAUAUCAAGAACAAGCCAAGGCACUUCGCAAGGGGAAAUCUCAAGUUAUUUAGAGUUUUCAAGAGGCUUGAUUUGAGGUAGGUGAUGGUUGUAUAUUUUCGGUUUAUGUAUGUAUGCAUGUUUAUUGCUUUGUAGUAUCAAUGCAUGACAGGGAGACAUAUGAUAUGCCUUCAUGUAGGUAAUCUCAUGCAAUAAACUUGUGGUUUCAAGUGGUUUUGUUCAUUUUUCUAUGUGAUUGUGCAUGAUUGUUGGUUGUCUCGGGUACCACGCUAGCAGGGGCGGACCCACAUGGAGUCCGCUAGGUGCUCGAAUACCCAUUAACCUCGUCCGGGUGCUCGAGCACCCAUUAACCUUGUCUCGAAAUAUAUAUAUAUAUAUAUAUGUAGAAAUUAAGAGGUAUUUGUAUAAAAUUAACAUAGAGCACCUAAUGAAUAAAUGAUCUGAUUGGCCCAUUGGCUCUUGGGUAGGUGCUUAAGACUCUUUUUAGUGUUGUUGAACCAGAGUUCGAAUCUCAUUGUUAACACGUAUUUUUUAUAUUUUUGACUUCGUUACUUUCAGAGCACCCACAACCUUAAAAUCAUUCAGAGUUCGAAUCUCAUUGUUAACAUGUAUUUUUUAUAUUUUUGACUCUGCUACUUUCAAAGCACCUACAACCUUAAAAUCCUAGAUCUGCCACUGUCAGUACACCAACUGCAUAUGGCUCAGGUACCAUGAUGGUACACUAACUAUGGAUGGACCGGGUACCACGCCGAUACACUAAAAUUUUGGGUUUGGGUUCUGUGAGGGCACCAUGUAUAUAAUUAUGGUUCCAUGAGAGAACCGUACAUUUAGAUUUGCGAUCAUGUGGGACAUGCAUCCAGGUAUUAUUGUCUCACGACAUGUGAUUGAGAGUCUAUGUGGUUUGUUACUUGUUGUUAUAUGCAUUAUAUUAUGUUAUUGCAUCGUAGUAAACUGUCUAUUUCCAUAUCUUGGACUGGCCAUGUGAUCUUACCAGUGUACACUAUGGUUUGUGUACUGAUACUGCACCUGUUCUUUUCCUUGUUGAGCACAUGACAUCUUCCGGCGCCUGAUCCAAGACUUAAGUUGAGAGAUACUUGACUUUGAAUCUACCAUGGAUUCUUCUACAUAUUCUUAUCCAUUUGCUCGGACAUUGACUUAUAAACUUUAGUUUAUGCUUAGGUUUGGGGUUACAUCCCCAGUUGACUAUUUAGAGUUUUGGUAUGGUGACUUUUAGUUUUUAGGAGUUAUUUCUCAUUAAAUGUUUUUGAACUAUGGAGUUGAGUUUAUGGAGACUCAAUUCUUAGUUGUCUAAACUGCUCUCAUUGAUUUAUAUGAUGAACUUUUCUUAUUUAAAUGGUGUUGGGUUGGUUUCAAGUUAGUCAUUGGUUCUCCCAUCAUGUGGUUUAGUGUUGGUGUCACUCACUACGGUCGGGGUCUUGACAUUGAGGUUGUAUCCCCUUAUUCUAAACAACUACACGACUUUCAGUUUCUAGGGGAUAAUUCCGCAGUGUUGAUGACUAUGACUUUUGUUUUAUUGAAAAUUUGAUUUUUGGAAUUAUGAUAGUAAUUAGUUGGUCCUCCCACGUGGGUUAGUGUGAGUGUUGCUCACGAUGGAUUGAAGUCAUGACAAAGAAUCUUUGGAUAUAUUAAACAGAUCCUUACCGAAUUAUUGAAAGAAUCAAUUAGCUUGCAUUUCUCACGAGUAUGAUCCUAAUGAGCCAAUUUGGAAAUUCACAAUCUCUGAAAGACAAGUGGGAGAAAAAAAGAAAUAAUAACCAAAAUCAAGAAAUCUAGGUUUUUAAAGACUUAUCCUAGACCCAAAUUAAGUUUGAUAAAUCCUAGGUCUAAGUUUUCUCGUUUUUCUCCCAUGGAUAAGCUAGCUAAUUUUGUGGCUGGAGCUAUAUAAAAUAUCUUAACACUAAAUGUCAAACCUUUUGGUGAAUUUAAAACUUAUGUAACCUUUCAAUUUUACCUAAAUGUGAAACCUUUAUGUGAAUUGGUUUGCUUAACUGAGUAAUUCACAUGCAUAAUUAAUGAAUUUACUUGCGUAAUUGUCUCUUAUUAACAAGCAUGACUUUGAAAAGUAUAAUUGUUGACUUUUACAACCGUGAAAAUUUGAAUGGUAACGAAUACGACAUCUAAAGUCAUACAAUAAGAUAUGUAUUCUAAGAGAAAAAUGUUCCUUGAAGAUAUAAAUCAUGUUUUAAGUCAUAAAGAGAAUAACUCUACAGAACACAAAAGAUUUUGAAACUUACAAAGUGUGAAAAAAGAAAGAUUUUGCUGCACGUAGAAUCAUCGUAAGUUAUGUUCUUGAUGACCUCAUUGAUGAAUGUGAGAUUGCUCAUGCCAUGUAGGCACACUUGCGAGAGACAUAUGAGGGGACAUAUGUGACUGCCUUAUACAACUGACUAUCAAAUUUGAUACUUACAAGAAGCAUCAUGAUUAGAAUAUCAAACUAUACCUUAGGAUGAUAUCAAACAUGAUUACUCAACUCAAAAAUAUUGAUCAUAUUCUCUCUGAUGAGCAACAAGUUCAGGCAGUAAUCCGAUUUUUUUCAAUAGUUGAAAGAUUUGAAGGUUAACUUAAACCCAUAAUUAGGGUUGUUCAUGGUUAUGGUUAAAAGACCAAAUCGAACCGCGAUCAUAUCUUAACACUAAAUGUCAAACCUUUUGGUGAAUUUAAAACUUAUGUAACCUUUCAAUUUUACCUAAAUGUGAAACCUUUAUGUGAAUUGGUUUGCUUAACUGAGUAAUUCACAUGCAUAAUUAAUGAAUUUACUUGCGUAAUUGUCUCUUAUUAACAAGCAUGACUUUGAAAAGUAUAAUUGUUGACUUUUACAACCGUGAAAAUUUGAAUGGUAACGAAUACGACAUCUAAAGUCAUACAAUAAGAUAUGUAUUCUAAGAGAAAAAUGUUCCUUGAAGAUAUAAAUCAUGUUUUAAGUCAUAAAGAGAAUAACUCUACAGAACACAAAAGAUUUUGAAACUUACAAAGUGUGAAAAAAGAAAGAUUUUGCUGCACGUAGAAUCAUCGUAAGUUAUGUUCUUGAUGACCUCAUUGAUGAAUGUGAGAUUGCUCAUGCCAUGUAGGCACACUUGCGAGAGACAUAUGAGGGGACAUAUGUGACUGCCUUAUACAACUGACUAUCAAAUUUGAUACUUACAAGAAGCAUCAUGAUUAGAAUAUCAAACUAUACCUUAGGAUGAUAUCAAACAUGAUUACUCAACUCAAAAAUAUUGAUCAUAUUCUCUCUGAUGAGCAACAAGUUCAGGCAGUAAUCCGAUUUUUUUCAAUAGUUGAAAGAUUUGAAGGUUAACUUAAACCCAUAAUUAGGGUUGUUCAUGGUUAUGGUUAAAAAAUCAAAUCGAACUGCAAUCCAAACCAAACCGAUUAAAAAAACCGAUAUUUGGUUUGAUUUGAUUUUAAAUUUUUAAAAACCGAUACUAUUUGGUUUGGUUUUGGUUUUACUAAAAAAUAACUGCAAAAAUAACCAAAUCGAACCGAUAAAUUAUAUAUAUAAAUUUUAUAGUAAUUAUUUAUAUAUCAUUCAUAAAUAAAAUAUAAAUAUUUUGUUAAAUUUUAAGUAACUUAAGUCUUUAACUUUACCAUUUUCUCAAGUCCACCACUUAAAUUUUAGUCCAUCUAUUACAUUUUCUCAAGUCCAACACUUAAAUUUUAGUCCAUCUAUUACAAUCAUAAGUCCAAGUCCAUCAAAAUUCAUUACUUUAGUCUCUACCUACCAUACCUUUCAUAAGAUAGUUACACAUUCUCUUAAUUAAAUCACUUUGUUCGUGUAAUGAUAACUUUAGUAUUGUUUAAUUGCUUAAUUGAACCGACAAUAACUUUACAGUGGAUUGCUCAUAUACUAGGUGUUUAUGUCUAUCAAGAUACGUAUGUCCGAAAAAAUUUAUUGCUUUCAAACUGAAAAACCUAGAUAAACUUAACCAAACCGUCAAUAACCAAACCGAUAGUUAUUUUUUUUCGUUUGGUUUGGUUUUAGAUUUUUAAAAAAUCGACUAAUUGGUUUGGUUUUGAUUUUAACCAAUAAAUGAUCCAAACCGAACCACGAACACCCCUACCCAUCAAAAAUAAUUCUGAUAUUGUCCAUCAUGUUGAGCUUGAAGACAAGUGGCUUGGUGAUGCUAAAACUAUAUCUAGUGCCUAUGUGACAAUAUCAAGCGAUACAAAAUUUUCAAGCUUCAAGCAUAUGAAAAGUUAGAAAAAUGUUAGAAAGGGAAGGAGACUAGAGAAGGAUCCUCCAAGAAAAAGAACAUGCCAAAGUUCAAGAAGGAAAAAUAUUUGUUCGAGAAGAAAGACGAGAAUAAGAUAAAGUGCUACAGCUGCCAUGUAUGGCAUUCCAAAAUGCAUCUCUAAGUGAUAUAUAUGUUUCUAUCACUGCUUUACAAACUGAAUCGUAUUUUAUGUGGAUUGUAGACUCAGAGGCCACCGACCAUGUGAAUAGUGAUCGAGAAACGUUUGUGGAGUUCUGUCGAAUCUCACAUGGAUCAAAGUGAAUAUAUGUAGAAAAUAAUGAAAAACUUGGAGGUAAAGGGAUAUGAACUUACAAAAAUGGACUUGUGUAGUUGUCGAUCUUUAAUAUUGCAUAACGACCUAUAUGCUUUAGAGAUUCGACAAAACUUAAUCUCUUUAUUUGCUCUUUUAGAUCUUAAUUUCGAUUUAAAUUUUAGUUACAAUGAUAAAUAGAUGCGCAAACGCAGUACAUAAGAGAUGUAAGAGGUUGGGAGAGGUAGAAGAAUUAGAAACUAAAAAUCAUUGCAUCAUUAUAUGUAGUAGUUUUGACUAAUAAUUAAAUCUUUAUUGGAGUAGGUUAUUUGCACAUGCAAGAGCCAAUAUAACACCUUCUAGAUGAUUUUUGUUAUCACCCAUGACCAAUGAAAAUUGGAAAAUUGUACUUUCUUCUAAUCUAUCUAAUUAAAUUAAAUUGCCUUAAUAGACCUCUAUCUUAAAUUAGUAUUGAAAUUUCCCUAACUUUGACCACUACAAGUCAUCUAACUCGGUUUCAAUAAUCUCAAUUUUCCUUCUUCCUCACUAUUUCACUCUAUCAUCCAUCCAUGGAUUCCACUUUACAUACCUGGAAUCCAUAAACCCUAAAUAAUUUCUCAAGAAAAUUCACACCAUUUUUGUUAUACAAAACACCCAUUUUGGGUGUAUUUUUGUUAAAGAUAUAUUAUGUAUAGAUCGGGAGCUGUAAUGGCAUGGAACGUGUUCAGGUUCUGUACUGCCUUGCGAGGGCUUGGUUCGAUCAUGAUCCUUUUGGUUUUGGGUGUUGUUGGAGUUACCUAUUACGCCGUCGUUUUAACCAACUAUGGUCCUUCCCUUACCAGUAGUGGUGGUUUCCUCGAUGUCCUCAUCGCUCUUUCAGUACUUGUAUUAUUCCAUUGUCUGGUAAUUUCAUUUUCUCCCAAAUUCUGGUACUUUGUUUAUAAAAUUUGAUGAUUUAUGGGUGUUUGACGUAUUUCCAUUUUUUGAAAAUUUAUAUUUGGGUUUUUAUGGGCGGUUCAAACAUUCAAUUGUAGGGAAUUUGUUAAGUUGGACCUUGGGAAAUCGAAAGUAGUUUUUUUUCGAAUCCUGUGGAUAAUGUGGAUGAUGGCUUCAAUAUUAAGUAGACAGAUUACUGGAGAUUUUAGAAAGAAAAGUUUGAGAGACUUCAAAUUCAUCUUGUUAUCGAGUUCUGUGUCAGAGCUGAGUGGGACUAUGGAUGGAUUGGAAGUUAUAUUAAGUAGCUAAAAAGUACAUAUUUGUGAUGAUUGCAGUUGGUGAUGCUUCUGUGGUGCUACUUUUCUGUUGUUUUUACUGAUCCUGGUAGUGUGCCUCCAAAUUGGAGACCAGAGUUGGAUGAAGAAAGAGGGGAAGCUGAUCCGUUAACCACAUCAGAAUUCGGGGCUUCGCCAGCUGACUCAGGGAAUACCAGAAUACGUUUCUGUAGAAAGUGCAACCAGUUAAAACCUCCUCGAUGCCAUCACUGUUCCGUUUGUGAGUUCUUGUUUUUUUUCACCUAAAUGAUGAUUUUGAUUAAAGUUUUUUCGUUUGAGAUUGAGUUGUCUGCUUCCCUGUUUUAGGUGGAAGGUGUGUGCUAAAGAUGGACCAUCAUUGUGUGUGGGUUGUCAACUGUGUUGGAGCAUUAAACUACAAGUAUUUCCUUCUCUUCCUGGUAAGUUAUCAUGAUUCUUGAAUUUUGAGUAGUAUUGGCUGCUAGAUUCUGAACAUAUUUAUAGCGUCAACAGAUGACGAUAGCUUUCCUGGAUACAAGCAAUGCCAAUCUUCCUUUUCUUGGGAAUCUUCACUAGCUCUAUGGAUUUUCCCAUCAGUGACCCUAUGCUCCAAGACCCUACUCUCAGCCUAAGAGACCCUUAACCCACGUACCACUCCUUCCUCUUACCCCUGGCCCCGACCGAGGACAAAAUAUAAGGGAAGUAUAACUAAGAAGGAAAAAUAAUUUUUUUAAUGAAAUUUGCACAUGGUAAGCAAGGACUGUUCGUGACAAACACUUCCUUUCUUAAAAUUGGUUGGGUUGCCCUAGAAAGGGGAGUACUAACACCACUUAGAAGUUGUUCGGAUGGGGGAUUGUGUACUAGGAACCCCACAAACGUUAAGUGUCUUUUUGGAAAUCAAAGGCUAGUUUAGGCGGUUUUUAUCUAUCCUACUCUCCAGAGUGCUUCUCCACCACUCAAGCUUUUGAUGACACUUCGUUGGUUUCAUCAAUUCGCACUUUAUUGUAAGCAAUUAACAUACAUAAUGGGAUAUUAAAAUGUAUUGUGUUAGUUCAUAUAUAACUAGUGUAAAUAAGUACAUGCUUAAUGUCGAUCUCUAUGUUAACUCAUGGUUGUGAAAAUUGAAAACUCCUUUCUAUCUCCUGGUACUACUGCUCUCACACUAGUGAUGACUUCUUAUAAUUAUUCGUUAUGGGAUUUAUAUAUUUAAUAUAAGUUCCCUUCUUCCCCAACACCCACCAAAUGACUUUUGUUAGUACUAAAUCAUAUGCUUUCUAUAAGGCAAUGAACAACAUGUGUAAAUCUUUCUUCUCGCGAAUUUCUGCUAAUCAGUCCUAACAAAAGAAAUACCAUCUGUUGUAGAUCUAUCUGGUAUAAAUACAAUCCAGUUUUCUGUUACACUUGUAGGGUCCCUAGAUCUAUGCUCUAUCACUCUUUUCAGCAGUUUCAUCUUAUUGUUGAUAAGUUUAAUGCCGCGAUGCUUCACAAAAUUUUGAAAAUCUUCUUUGUUCUUAUGUAUUAGAAUAAGGGUACUCUUCCUCUACUCAUCAAGCGUUCUACCACUUUUUAGUAUAACAUUAAAUAGUUUGGUAAGUCAUACUUCUCCAACCUCUCCAACAUACCUACAAGCCUUUAUGAGGUUUCCGUUGAGACCAUAGGCUUUCUUAAUCAUAUUUUUCAUGGCAAUGUCUACUUUAGACUUGUUAAUUCUAAGAGCGUAGCUGAAGUCUUUAUCGUGUACAAAUAUUUGGAGAUCUUUAAGCUUAUCCUCGUGAUUCGAGUUGAACAAUUGACCAGUCUCUUUUUUUUUUUUCUUUGUUGAUGACAAGGGAAACCCGCAGCCGCUACCCUUUGGGUGCACACAGGGUAAAACCCCCGCUCCUAUGCCAUAGCUCGCAAACCACAUAGGAGAGGUAACCUGCACUAGGCAAGCCCGGCACGACGAGCUCGACCCAGAAGGCAAACCCCUUGCUUUCGUUGGCAAGGGGUUUCGAACUUGAGACCUCCAACAUGGAAGUCCCAAGCCCAAACCACUGGGCCACCUCGAAGGGUUGACCAUAGUCUCUUCUCCACUCCUUGAUCUCAUUAUCUCUCGUCAAAACUUGUUGAGAAUCAUUUUUAAUACACUUCACCUAGUUUAACCGUUUAAGUUCUUCUUAUUCUCUCAUGCGUGCUAAUUUGUACGUUUCUUUCUCCUCUUCUCGUGUCCCUAGCUUCUGGUACAAGCCAUCUCCAUCUGGGCUUCCCCACAAGUUAUGGCCCUAUUAGCUUCCCUCUUAGCUCUAUUAUAUUCUUCAAAGGAUACGUAAGCAACCUAUGCCUAUAUAAAUACAUUUCCUCCUCAUUUUAUGAGUCAUAGUUUUAAUUGGUUAUAAAGUUUAAGACUGUAAACAUGACUUUUGAAUCUUGUGGUCUGAGACGAGUAAAGGUGUAUAAAACAUGCCAAAAUAGUACCCUUCCAGUGCCCUUAAACAUCCCAUGUCAUUCUUAUGAGGGAUUGUCGUUAAGGAUAAAAUGAGAAUGUUGGAAUGGAAAACUUCCUAAAUGUUGAAUAAUAACAUUCUUUUUUUUUUUGGUCAUCAAAAGAUAACAUUCUGUUUGUAACAGGAAUGGAAAACUUCCUAAAUGUUGAAUAAUAACAUUUUUUUUUUUUUUUUGGUCAUCAAAAGAUAACAUUCUGUUUGUAACAUACUAAAUAGGAAAGUAAACACAUAAAUUUAAAUGGAGAGAGAACAACAUUAUAUUUAUAUUUUUCGACGAAAUAGUCUCUUCAGUGGGUAUGUUGUUGUUGUUGUCUUAAAAGUCUCCUAUGUUAUUAAUUUCAAAAAAAUAAAAGUCUCCUAUGUUAUUGCUCAUAUGUCAAGUGGAGUGAUUUUGAUGUUCAUAUAUAUCAGUCUUUGUCUUAGUAUAUUGUUUUUUUUUGUCAGUUCUUUUGAUAUUUUUUGGGGAUGAGUGUCACACAUGGUUCUGUUGCCUUAGAAAUCAUAUCCACCCAUGAGACCUUUGCAAACCAUCAUUAUCUCCUAUGUACAAUCAGAGACAGCCAAUGUUUUUAGUUUAUGCGUUCUAGACAACAUUUUAUUUUGCUUGCUAGGUUCUGAAUAAAUUAUUUAUACAUACUAAAUGAAUUUUUAACUCAAAAUACAGGGUUUGAGUCAAAGCUACAGGUUAUACGGAGCUAUAGCUAGUACUGUGGCUCCGCCACCGUGUACAAUCAUAGUAGGAGUUUCUUGAAUGACAUGCUGCUAGUCAUGCAAGUACCAAUACUAAGCAACUGCGAUAUUAGCACUAUCCCUGCAUACAGUAUCUGAACGACCAUAGUGAUUAUUGUUUGUAAGGAACUUAUUCUAAUAUUGUUUCCUAUAUGAUUUUAUCAUUUUCCAAAAUUCAUCUGGCUAUUUCUGUGAGAGUGGAAUGCAGUUUCCUUAGAGUAUUGCAAGUGAUAGUUCAUAUUGAGAAUUUUCUUUUUCCAUGUUCUUCCUCCUUGUUGGUGCCUGUCAAUUGAUGUUUGUAUGCAUCAUUAUGCAUGCAUGAAUACUUAACAACAAUUGUCCUGGUAUUUUCGUCGCAUUGCUGUAUUUUAAUGACGGACUUUUUCUCAACUAAUUAAACCUUCUCUUACUGCAGUUCUAUACGUUCCUUGAGACCACUGUUGUCACUUUAUCAUUACUGCCACAAUUUAUUGCAUUCUUCAGUGAUGGAGAGAUACCUGGGACUCCGGGCACUCUUGCGACUACUUUCCUUGCUUUUGGUAUGGUCUGGGGAUUGUCUUGGUGAACUUGCUACCUGUGAUUUCUUUAUGAAGACACUGGUUUUCUUAAUUUUUCUACAUUUCUUGUGCAUCGCAGUCUUGAACCUUGCUUUUGCUUUGAGUGUUUUGGGAUUUCUGAUUAUGCACAUGUCGUUGGUGUCUGGUAAUACCACGACCAUUGAGGUACUCCAUUUUUCUUAUUCCUUAAGUUGAAUGGUAAAGUGUUUUCCUUUCUAUGGAACGCCUGGUGAUCUGAAACAUCAUUUGUACUGUGCAAACAGCUCUUUAGUCUUGAGGCAAAACCAGUUUAUAGAACCUUUCUCUCUUGGUCUUUGAUUUGGAAAAGUAUCUUUCUUUUUUGCGCACAUUUAAUGGCUCGUCUUACUUUCAGGCAUAUGAGAAGAAGACCAGUCCUAAAUGGCGUUAUGAUCUUGGUCGGAAGAGGAAUUUUGAACAGGUUAGAUGACUGCACAAGAUUGCCUUAUUUAUUAUUUAUUUCUGAUGGUAGGUUGCUUUCAGUAUGAAAGAAAAGAUAGAUGCUUCUCUAAGUAAUGCUGCGCUCUGAUCUAAAUUCUUAGGUAUGAAUAUUAUAAUAAGUACCAGAUUUAUGGAGUUGAUUUGGAAGUUAUGGUUUGAAUGUGACACAACAAAAAACAUAAGUUAGAUAUGAAAGAGAACUUCCAAUUGCAGCUGGCACUCAAUGUUUAUUCUGAGAUAUAAAUACUUGGAAGCUAAUUUAAAUGCCCAUGGUAAAAUAAAAGAUUAUUGAAGAACCUAAACUUCAUGGUAGUAGAGAAUGGGGAAACAAGGAAGCUUCAUUUACAGAUGGUGGAGUAGUGCAAAGCAGUGUGGAAACGAUAUGCCAUGUACAUAGGACCUUGAUAUCAGGCGCGUUUAUGAAAAAUGCUACAUCUCAUAGCAAUGAUUAAUUGACUAAUGUAGUUUCAUGAUUGAAAUAUAAUCGUUGUAUAGUGGGUAGAAAGAAAUUUGCAAUUUCUGUUGCUUUAUCUUUACUUUCUAGUUUUACCCUUUUUUUGGUCUUGAUAUAUGCUUUCAUCCUCUUUAUGAUUAAGAAGCAUACAUUAAACCUUCAUAUUAGAUGCCACUUCAAUACAGUGUUUGCAGUUAUUUUAUGAAAUAAAUAAAAUGAGAAAUGGUCGGUAGGAGGAUAUGUUCUAACAGAAUGAUGUGUUUGCUACCUCACUACCUCCUUACCGUUAUAUCUUUUUCACUUGUUACAUGACUUUAUCCGGUUUACUUGAUUUGGUUUAACAUUGAUUAUUAGUCUACUUCUUUUUAAAGUAAAUAUUUUUCUUUAGAACUACAGGAACAACACAAAUAAAACCACUUUUGUAUGAAAUAUCAUGAAAAUCGUAUAAGAAAUGAAAUAGGUCGUAAGUAAUAUUCUUUUUGCUUGAAUAAUAAAACUUGAAAAGUAACUAGGCCAGUAGAAUAGGGUGAAGGGGGGGAGUAAAUGACCAAAAACAUCCCUUAACUUUAACCCAAACUUAAAAACAUCCUUAUAUUGUAUUGUAAUAAUGAAUAAAUAGCAUCUUGAACUAUCCUAGAAGUUUUACAAGUUACAAGUUACAAGUUACAAGUUACAUACCUCUCUUAGUUGUCUGUGAAAAACUAACAGCUUCAAACAGAAAAUGUGCCUUUGCAUGUGACUUAUCCCUACAAAUCUACCAUUAUUGUCUCCUCUCCUUCGCUUCUUCAGCAAGGAGCGGAAACAUAAGCUAGCUAGUUAUUGACGUUUCUUUCACUGUUAUCAUUUGGAAAAAUAUAGACAGGAAGAAGUGGAAGAUAAAUAUUCUAGUCCUGCGUAUAUAAUAUAUAUAGGAUUUAUAUUUUCCUUUUCUUUUAGAGUGUCAUGUAAAAACAUUUUUUCAUGUUUCACUAGACGUUAAUAAAAUGAUCUGACAAAAGAAAAAGACAACAUAUUUUUUUAUAAGUCAUCACCUUAGGUUGUGAGCUUAAGGUGUGGGAGUUUGGCUUGACCCCUACUAUGUUAUAUUAAUAGGCAAAGAACUUACCACAACUAGAGGGGAACAUGAAACCUUGCCUCAAGUCUACAAAAGUUAGAUUGAAGGAAGGAAAUAGCCCAUAUAGAAUUUCUUCCUGUACAGACCCAGAAAUACAUUGACUAAUAAAUUUUUUAUAUUUUUCAAAUCUCCUUUGAGAGGUGGGUAAUUUCCAUUUAUCAAGUUGAAGCAGAUCAUUUGCUUCUCUGAGAAGAUAUAAGCCCCUAUUGCCACUUGUAACAGCUAUCUUGGCGAAAAAAAUCAGUAACCUGAUUAGCUUUUCUCUAGCAGUAAGUGAAAAGAACCUUAGCCCCUCUUAAAAUGUUUGAGGUAGCUUUCAAACAAUGUGCUCGAAUUUCAAGUUGCAAGAGUCUUCUUUGAUCAGCAUAUUAGUUAUCACUAGAGAGUCAAGUUCAACGUGAAUUUUAGAAAAGCCAUUUUGGAUAAAUCUACUGUUGGUGUUUAUGGAAAAUGGAUAGUUAUUUGAGGUCUAGUGGGGUAAUUAGUAGGAUAUAAUGUGGAGAACAUGUCAUAGUGGUUACAUGAGUUACAAAGAAUAAUGACACUACUUUCUCCACUAUAUACCCAUUGAUUAUUAUGCAUGUUAAUAUUUUUAUUUGACGGUUAAAAUGAGUGGGGGAAUAUUGGUGUUUAUGUACAUUUUAAUGUUAAAUAAAAAUAUUGAAGUGCAUGAUAGUUAGUCGGCAUAAAGUGGAAAAAGUGGUGUCGUUCUUAGUUGCACGGACUCUUCACUUUUGAUGCUGCACCCGUGUCAGACUCUUCAAAAAUGCACUACUUUUGGCGAAUCCGACACGCACCCGUUGAAAUUUUUGAAGAGUCUAAGCAACAUAGGUGUCAUUAUUCUUUGUAACUCAUGUAACCACUAUGACAUGUUCUCCACAUUAUAUCCUACUAAUUACCCCACUACACCUCAAAUAACUAUCCACUUUCUUGACAUUUACUUGUGCAAGAAAUCCACACAUUUAUAAAGGAUGUUUCUUCUUUGUAUUUUGAUAUAUAUUUGAAAAAUAUGAGAAGUGGAUGAGAAGUAUUAUAUUGUGUUUAUAUUUUGAGGUUAGUGUAGUGAAAGAGAGUUGAAUGAAAGAAAAAUAUUCUAGCGUUUGACCAUGAAAACAAAAAAAAUCACUUUAUUUGAAAUUUUUGAAGUUAGAGUUAUGUUUGGCCAUAGUUUUUGCAGUUAAUAUUUAGAAUUUAAAUGUAUUUUCUUAAAUAUAAAUAUUAUUUGAACAUGGAAUAUAUUUUAAAUGAUGUUAUUUUAUGAAUUUUUUAAAGAUUUUUUUGAAAAAACUAAAUUCAAAAAAUGGAAAAAAGUAAAAAGUGAAAACAAGGUUUUUGUUGUUUUCCAAAUUUCAAAUACAACUUCAAGUUGUAUUUGGAAUUUUUCAUGGCCAAACACUAUUUUUCAAAUAAAGUGAAAUUAUAUUUUGGGAAAAAGUGAAUAAUAUUCAUGGCAAAAUUCUCUCCAAUUUACUCACUAUACAAAAGAGAGUAAUUUUAUGUAUAAGGAAGUUGUUCUUUUGAUGGAGCUUUGGACUCUACAACAGUUCAACUAAUUCAGACUUGUUUGAGUUAUACUGUAUACGACGUUGUUGGGUUGUUGCAUCCUAAAGGGGAUAAGUUGUCACGACCCGAGACUACCCCUUAGUCGUAACAUAAUUUUUAAAGCCACAAGUGACCCCAAGCUAACCCAUGGUCUGUCAUGACAUUAAGAUUCAUAUAAAUAAUCACUGGAAAUAACUUAUGUAGAAACUGAAUCCAAAAGGGACAUAUCAAUCCAAAACACUAAAUGGAUGAGUGUAGAGUAUCUGAACAAAUCAUAAAGUUGAUACUGCUCUUUGAUUGUUUGAUAGCCUCUACUAAGAUGAGUUGCUAGGGCAAGCCCCCCAACUAACUCUAAUUGUCUACUAAAUAACGAAAAUAAGAUAGAGAAUUGUCCUCGGAAGAUGAGGGCUCACCAAUACUGCUAUUGAGUUGAUCAAAAGUAGUACUAACCGCGAGUAGGAUGUUGAGCAUUUGAACCUAUAUAUUAUAAAACAAUAUGGCGUAGAGAGGUAUGCGGUCAAUACUUUGAAUGUACCGAGUAUGUGAUGCAUGCAUCACAAGUCUUGUAAACUUAACAUGAUAAAUCUAAAAUGUUGAACUAAAAUAUAUGAACUGAUGCAAUGACCAAGUAAAUCAACAUGCAACUAAUAAGUACUGAAUUGAAAUAAAUUAAUGCAAGGUCAAUGCAAUUAUGUGAGAGUGAACUGUGGGAGAUACUAAUAAUUGAUAUACUUCGUCUGAGCUAAAUGGAGUCCAACCUGGACCCCAGCUGGGAGCGCUUUGUACCUUGCCAGGGUAUGAAUACUGUCUAACGUGGAUCCACUAAGUUGAUGUCCAAAAUGGACUAAGGUGUUAGUCCUGGUCUGAUGGGUGACCCUUAAAAACCUACGGUGCCACAUAGUUCUGGGGCUUAGGAAUUGCUACUAAAGGUCUCAGUCCUAACUGAUGGGUGACUCUUAAAACCUAUGUCUGCUUCGUGCUAAGUAAUACCCCCAAUUGGCUUUAUGCUUACAAUAUGAAAAUACUAAUAAUACUGAAUAACUCGUAAAUAUUAAAAAAUUGUUAAUAACUGAUAAGCACUAUCUAAAAGCAUCUCUAAGCAUGAGGAACUGAUAAAUUGAGUAUAAAGCUAAUCAUGACAAUUCCUAUCUAAAAGCAUCUCUAAGUCUGAUGGGUGACCCUUAAAAACCUACGGUGCCACAUAGUUCUGGGGCUUAGGAAUUGCUACUAAAGGUCUCAGUCCUAACUGAUGGGUGACUCUUAAAACCUAUGUCUGCUUCGUGCUAAGUAAUACCCCCAAUUGGCUUUAUGCUUACAAUAUGAAAAUACUAAUAAUACUGAAUAACUCGUAAAUAUUAAAAAAUUGUUAAUAACUGAUAAGCACUAUCUAAAAGCAUCUCUAACCAUGAGGAACUGAUAAAUUGAGUAUAAAGCUAAUCAUGACAAUUCCUGUAUUAUGAAGGAAAUAUGCAAUUGAAAACAACACAAUUCGGAGGCAUGAAAUAUUUGUAUUUUGAGGGUUUAUGAAAAUAUACUUCAAGUAAAAUACUGUAAGUUAUGGAGAGACAUGUAUUUUUCAACCAAUAACGAAGAGAACUGAAAUACAUUGAAAUCCAUGCCGAUCAUACGAACCCUAGGUUUUCAUAGAAUUUUAAUUACUGAAAUACGAAGGUUUCUUUGGGACUCAAUGGUUGAAAGGAUAUCCAUUGAUGAAAUCCCACAUACUUGGAAUGGAAACACCUAAUGGAAUUCUUGAACUGAAGUUUGAAGACAAAGAACCCUAGUUUCUUGCUUGAGAGGACUUAAGAGUGUAAGUGAUUCUGCUUUUUCUGGGUGUAAAGUGGGGAGGUUUAAUCGACUAACUCCCCUUUUCCCCCACUUAGAGUAGCCCAAAACAUUGUGGUCUAGGCAUAGGAAGAUAAGGAAAGGACAAAAAUACCCCUCAAAGUGAGUUUUGAAAUUUCUGGAACCAGGUUCCCACGAGUUACUCCUCGACUCGUGGUCUGACACUACGAAUUGCGAACCAGGUUCACGACUCGUACUGUCAGUCGUGGGAACCUUGGUGCAUCUGGGGUCUCUAAAUAUUUUCACGAUUGAUAGUACAAAUCCUAGACCUGGUUCAUGAACUCGUACGGUCAGUCGUGGGAGCUGGCAAUCUUAGGACCUAACCAUGGCUGAUGGUACGAAUCGCGGACCUGGCUCACGACUCGUAUUGUUAGUCGUGGGAAGCCUCUGAAUGUUUUCAUGACUGAUGGUACGAAUCGUGGACGUGGUUCAGGACUAAUACUAUCAGUCGUGGGAACUGAGCUGAGUUAAUCCCAUGAUUGUGUUCACGACUCGUGAACCAACUCGGGGGAACUGGUACUGAAAAUUUUUGGGCUGGUUUGUCUAUGCCAAUUAACGAGUAAUCUUGGGUUCGAAAUGCGAGGUGUUACAUAAGUCAACAGUUGUACAACUUGAUCGGUGUAGAUUAUAACGCAGUGGGCCUGAAUCUUCUUAAAGAGAGCGAGUCUGCCUCAACCUGAAUAUUAAUUUAUUCAUUUUUGUUUAUUUUAUUCAAUUGUAAUUUGUGGUAUAUUUAGCAACACCAUCUACUCCCAGAAUUAUAGCACCUAAUAUGUCAACAUGAUUAUUACUGAAAUAUUUAGCUAAAAAAGGCCAUCGAAAAAUCUCCUUGAUCAUUUCUCACUACUCCGCCCAUACAUGUCUUUUGAAUAGCACUAAUAUUGCUAUAAGGAAUACAUAUUUGGUGAGAUUAAUUUAAGAGAUGUGCAGAUUAACAUGAAAAAUAGUUUCUUCUCUUUAAAAUAGAAAUAUUUUUAUAUAGCUUUUCUCAUUUAUAUUAUUUCAAUUUUAAUGUUUAGAUCAAGUAAAUAUAAUAUUGUGGGUUAAUGAGAUACAUAAUUUGUCUUUUACAACAAUAACAAUAUAUUGUAUAUAAUUUUACAAGUAGGUAUGAGAAGGGUGUUGUGUAUGUAGCUUUACCCCUAUCUUGUAAAGUUUUUUAUAAUUAAUAGUUUACCUUGUUUGUAAAUGAAAUGAGAUACAUAAUUCGUCUUUUACCUUUAUAACUUGAAGAGUUCUAUAUAUUAUCAAUAGUUAUUCUCUUGGAAUUCAUAAAACGAUUUAAAAGUUUACUAAUAAACCAAUUAUUCAGAUGUUGAAAAUAACAAAGGUAUAGAACUUCAUCCAAAAUCAAAGGUAUAGAUAUCCUUAUCAUUUUUGGCAAGAAUAUUUUUGUGUUAGUGUUUUGUUUCUACAACUGAACAACAAUGUAUUGAUUUGAUAUUAAGGUUAAGGCAUGUGCUGAGUCUUUUUAGCGUUAGCUCCAGCUUCCCUGUCCCAAAUGGCAUACCAUAGGGAAGGUGACAGAAGUGUUGGAUUUGUGGGGUAGUCAUGUGCUUCUGGUUGAACCUGUUAUUUCUUUACAUAAAACUAACGGAGGGACGUAAUUUGUAAGUUUUGGGAUAAUUUAGGGAUGCUUUUUGUUUAUUGUGAUUGGGCAAGGAUGUAGCUUAAGGGUUGGGUAUAAUUGAGGUAUGUUUUUGGCCAUUUACUCGCGAAGAGGGCAAGUAAUAAUGCAUUUGUUUUUUUUUUUUUUUUUGGAGAACACGGGAAGACAAUUUUUAGUCCAUAUUUUCUUACUUAGUUUUUAGUAUUUUAACUAUUCGAGUAGGUAAUUUCGAUGAUUAUGUGAAACAUCUUGAGUAGGCCUUGUAUUAGUAAUAAUGCAUUUUUUUUUUUUUUUUUUUGGAGAACACGGGAAGACAAUUUUUAGUCCAUAUUUUCUUACUUAGUUUUUAGUAUUUUAACUAUUCGAGUAGGUAAUUUCGAUGAUUAUGUGAAACAUCUUGAGUAGGCCUUGUAUUGAGGUGAAAUAUGUUUUGGCUUAUUUAAAGUAAAAGUUAGCAAAUCACAUUUGUCUUGGUGCUUCGGUUUUACUAAAAUGUUAUUUUUUUCUUAAUGCUCAUUCAGUUUGGAGGGGAUGUUACAACUAACAGAACGAAGUAUUCGACGUUCUUUUCUAUUUAACGAGGCUCUUAAUCUGAUAACAGGGUUUUCCAUCGUAACAAAUGAGGUUUUCAAAACCUUGGUAUUACCUUCAUAUGAUAAAUACACAAGCAAAGCCCUACAGCAUAUACUGAAGAUAUUCAGCUACUACCUCACUGAUUCUCUACUCUUUAGUUUCACUUCCAACAGAUCACAACCAGCCAUUUUGCAACUUAAUGCAGUCCUUCAGUUUUCUGUGUUACAAUUUACUCUUCUGUCGAAACAAUGUGACAUUGUAGGGCAACUUUUUGUAUGAAUCCUUCGUAAUUACACUGAACAUACUAAAUGUACUGGUCAGAUCUAUACAAGUGUGUCAUAUUUGUAGACCAUUUCUAUUCUCCGAUGAUGCUCCUCUACUGUCUACUCUCCCUUGUGUUCCCAAAGCUCUUACCCCACGCUGUUUAACACCAAUUCCUAUGUAACUUCAUUUUCAAUGCCCUUGUUCCCGCAGUGUUGUAACUUUGUUCUCAGAAUCCAUGUGGGGUCUCAUCAUGUCUACCAGCAACAUCAAAAAAUUCUCUAAGCCAACAUUCUAGUAUGCUGUGUUUGGUUCUUUACUGAUACAAGCUUUACAAAGAACCUAAUCAAGGAAUAGAAUAUCAAAUCAAACUUCACACAGAAAUACAAGGAAAAGACAGUCCUGAAAUUCUCGUGCCUGAUCUGCCAUUAACUGGAAGUUUUUAUCUUAAAAAGAGUACAGCUUUGGUGUUACCUUUUGCUAUUUUGGUUAUUUAAAUGAAGAAACGUGAGAAAGCUAUCACAUGCCUGUCAUUUUUCAGUUAUAUUUUACUGGUUAAUACGCUGCUGUAUAAGACCCAGUGUCGGACUGGACUACCCAAUAAACUUGGAGUACUUUCUCAAGUUUACUUGUCUCGAGAAAACUUAUCAGGGCACCAUUUGGAUUGGACUGCAAAAACUAGUUUUGAAUAUGACAGCUAAUUACCUUUGCUUGUCUUGCCUAUGUCAUGUUACAAGUUGUGUUAGAUCUGUUUUAUUUUCAUAAAAAAUGUUAGAUCCCUUUCAGUUUACCAUUCUAAGGUUGUAUUAUAUGAUUCAGGUGUUUGGUUUGGACAAACGGUAUUGGUUCAUUCCUGCUUACUCUGAAGAAGAUUUAAGACGGAUACCUGCUCUUCACGGUCUUGAAUACCCAUCGAAGCCUGACCUUGAUGCCCAAGAAUAAUCAUGAUGUGCAUACCGAACAUAAGUUUCGUUCUUUGUAACAAAAUAUACAGUGCCUCACGAUUUCAACUGAUUAACCGGCUUUAACUACAUUGGACUGGACCUUUGCAUCUACUCGUAUUACGCAGAGCAACACCACAAGAAUAUGAAGAGUCUGAGCAGGCGAACAACUUGUGGAUUGGAGCAAAGGCUGGCAUUUCGUACUACGUUGAUUAGUCCAUUUCAUGAUUUUUAGAUAUCUAUGUGAAAUUAAUAUUCUGUUACAUAAAAAUGAUGCUGAUUUUCACGUUUAACAGCAGUGUUCUUGUAAUUGAUUACUCGAUCAGAAAUGCAGAUUAGAUCUCUGAAGAUUCUCCACCCGAAAACAUUGAUUUCCUGAUAAGAGAAGUGCAGAUCAAAUCUGUGAUGAUUUUUCGUUGGUAUGAUAAGAGUUUUAAUUGUUCGUAGCUUCGUUGAAAUGGUGACUUUGCCAUCAGGAUGAGUUAUGAGUUCUGUUCUGGUGGGGUUAUUUAUUUUGUCUCAAAUACACUGGAGGAAAGUAUACUAUCUGAAAUUUUGGAUCAUAGCCAUGCCAAUGGAAGUCCCAAAUGUUUUUUUGACAAUAGAGGGUUCAUAAUUUAACUCUUAUAUUUGCUCAAUAUUGCCAAAAAUAAAGUAAUAUACAUCUCUCCUGAAAGUUUUGUCAUACUCAAAUGAAGGUUAGCAUCAUGAACAAAAAUGAACGCAUGGGGUAGGAUAGUGUUACAAUACCACCUAUCAUUUUGAAUAGAGGUGAACUCAAAAUUUGAAGAUCAUUGAGAAGGGUAUCACUAUCUUUAACAUAAUCAUGUCAAUUAUUAGCUACAAAAUUUAGAAUACAAGCUACAACUCUCUUAAACUUGAAAAUUGUGAACAAUUAUGAGCAAAUUAUUAACUUCAAAAUGAUCGAACGUAAAAUUAGUUUAGUACUAAUAUAACAAAAGUAGAUCAUCCAUUCAUACUUGACAUCGACACACUUUCAUAUUUUGAAAACAGGCAAUGAUAGUAUCAUUAUUUAUAUUUACAAAUAUGUCCUUCUCGAUGUACAAGCUAAACAAUCACAUCGUUCCUUUCAUAACAGACAAAAAAUACGCACUACGCAAUAUAAAAAUCACACCCUAAAAGAGAACUUACCAAUUUGCGAACAAAAAUAUAAUCUUGAAACAAAAAUUGUUUAGCAUAAUGAAAUUUAAAGUAAUAUGAUAGUCUUGUACUAUGCAGAUUCUGUAAAUUCAAAAUGGUCAAAUGUCAUUAAUUUAGUACUAAUAUAACAAAAGUAGAUCAUCUAUUCAUACUUGACAAGACGUGCUUUCAUAUUCUGAAAAACGGUUAAUGAUAUAGUAUCAUUACUUAUAUUUACAACUAUGCCAUUCUCGAUGUAACAAACAAAAACAAUCACAUCGUUCCUUUCAUAGCACAAAAAAAAAAA
Molecule: long non-coding RNA, 25746 nt
Filed under: Solanum tuberosum (potato)
Lineage: Eukaryota; Viridiplantae; Streptophyta; Magnoliopsida; Solanales; Solanaceae
Description: long non-coding RNA (STUB_LNC009985)
Source: RNAcentral